RNAcentral lists this ribosomal RNA (934 nucleotides) under uncultured archaeon. RNAcentral describes it as "bacterial SSU rRNA". It matches the Rfam family "Archaeal small subunit ribosomal RNA", at positions 1 to 922 of the family's 1478-position model. The record is from RNAcentral.
UUCCGGUUGAUCCCGCCGGACCCGACUGCUAUUUGGGUGAGGAUAAGCCAUGCGAGUCGAAUGGGAUACCUAAAUUUCCCAUGGCAGACUGCUCAGUAACACAUGAUCAACUUACCCUAUAGUGAAAAAUAACCUCGGGAAACUGAGGAUAAUGUUUCAUAGUUGAAAAGGCUUGGAGGAGUUUUUCAAUGAAGGGAUAAGAAAAAUGGUUCUUUUCCGCUAUAGGAUAGGAUCGUGCUCGAUUAUGGUUGUUGGUGAGGUAACGGCUCACCAAGCCGAUAAUCGAUAGGGGCCGUGAGAGCGGGUGCCCCGAGAUGGGUACUGAGACAACGACCCAGGCCUUACGAGGCGCAGCAGGCGCGAAACCUCCGCAAUACACGAAAGUGUGACGGGGUUACCCAAAGUGUUCAAUUUUGAACUGUGGUAGGUGAGUAAUGUCCCCUACUAGAAAGGAGAGGGCAAGGCUGGUGCCAGCCGCCGCGGUAAAACCAGCUCUUCAAGUGGUCGGGAUAAUUAUUGGGCUUAAAGUGUCCGUAGCCGGUUUAGCAAGUUCCUGGUAAAAUCGGGUAGCUUAACUAUCUGUAUGCUAGGAAUACUGUUAUACUAGAGGGCGGGAGAGGUCUGAGGUACUACAGGGGUAGGGGUGAAAUCUUAUAAUCCUUGUAGGACCACCAGUGGCGAAGGCGUCAGACUGGAACGUGCCUGACGGUGAGGGACGAAAGCCAGGGGAGCGAACCGGAUUAGAUACCCGGGUAGUCCUGGCCGUAAACGAUGCAUACUAGGUGAUGGUAUGGCCAUGAGCCGUGUCAGUGCCGUAGGGAAACCGUUAAGUGUGCCGCCUGGGAAGUACGGUCGCAAGGCUAAAACUUAAAGGAAUUGGCGGGGGAGCACCACAAGGGGUGAAGCCUGCGGUUCAAUUGGAUUCAACGCCGGG